CAAUCCUCCCUCCCCGUCAGCGUCAGGGGAUGGGCUCGGCGGCAGGGAGAGCAGCGCGCCACCAGGCACGAGCCGCCGCCGGCAGCCGUGUGAGCGGGGCCGGAGCCCAGCCCAGCCAAGACACCGGCACGUCUGCCUCACGCCAGCGGCAGGGAGCCGGCCAGCAGCAGCCGGCGUGACUGAGAGCAGCCAGGCAGGAGGCUGGCUCCUGCAGUCGGGCGGGGCAGCACCACGCGGGGGGCAGGCACCGGGUCCUCGGCUCCCUCCACUUCUCUCCCAGCCCCUUCGGGGAGGGCAGCCCCGGCCCCCAACAGCGGGAAUGACGCAGAGGGCCUCCCCACAGCCCCGGCUCUAAGGCAGGGGCCAACAACCCGGCGCAGGUCAGCCGCAAGCAGCCCCGUGCGCUGCGCACCUACCUUGUCAGAGGUAGCCCUGUGCCCCCGCCAGGCGACGUCAGCCCCGCGUGCAGCCCCCAGGCACGCCCGGGUAAGUCUAGGAUGUUCUACACCCAGAACCGGGGACAGCUCCGUCCCGAGCCCCCAGCGCCCAGGCUGGAUUCGGGGGACUCAUCCAGCCCAGGGCAGCCUCACAGAGCAACCGCGCUCAUCACCUACUCUGAGUGUCUCUCCAGCACGCCCCUUUUGAGCCCUCUCCUUCAUCGCCCUUGGCUUACCGCAAGGCCCUGUGUUGAACACGAGUACACGGAAGUACAGGUUACUGCAGCGCUGUACACUGGUUUUUAAACUGUUUAGUAUAGGUAAGAAUUUAAGUUUUCUAUAAAAUAUUAAAUGCUUAACUCCUACACACUGAAAAUAUGAUCCAUAAAGUGAUGGGGGAAUGUAGGCUCAAGGUUGCAGCCAGACAAACAAGGGCUCUAAGAGAAGUGAGCUGCUCUUAAUUCAUCUGAAUGGGGUAUUAAACCUGAAGUCUGAAACCGUAGCUAUAGGGACAGUUAGGCUACAUCUACACUACGGGAGGGGGUCGAUUUAAGAUACGCAAAUUCAGCUACUGAAUAGCGUAGCUGAAUUCGACGUAUCGCAGCCGACUUACCCCACUGUAGGGACGGCGGCAAAAUCGACCUCUGCGGCUUCCUGUCGACGGCGCUUACUCCCACCUCCGCUGGUGAAGUAAGAGCAUCGAUUCGGGGAUCGAUUGUCGCGUCCCAAUGGGACGCAAUAAAUCGAUCCCCGAGAGGUCGAUUUCUACCUGC
Molecule: long non-coding RNA, 1210 nt
Filed under: Chrysemys picta bellii (western painted turtle)
Lineage: Eukaryota; Metazoa; Chordata; Testudines; Emydidae
Description: lncRNA (ENSCPBG00000015727.1)
Source: RNAcentral